GGCCAAGGACGAGGACCGGAUAUCAAAUCAGCUUCUUCCUUUCCGACGAAGAUUUCUAUCACCGACCGUUAUUUCUCUGCUCAGUAUCCACCGUCGCCAUUUAAGUUUCUUCAGCAAGAAUGUACGCUAAGAUUGGAUCGCAAACUGUGGUACCUCAACCUCCAACAGGAUCAGAGCCUAAUCCUUUUGGGAAUGCAAUUCAUGUAACUAGUUCAGGUCUCAUUAGAGGUGGAUUGGGUGCAUACGGUGAAAAAAUACUGGGGUCAAGCUCUGAGUAUGUCCAGAGCAAUAUAAGUCGAUAUUUCUCUGAUCCCCAGUAUUAUUUUCAAGUGAAUGAUCAUUAUGUUAGGAACAAAUUGAAGGUUGUUUUGUUCCCAUUUCUGCAUCGGGGUCAGUGGACAAGAAUAACCGAGCCAGUGGGAGGGCGGCUCUCUCAUAAACCACCAUUUCAUGACAUAAAUGCGCCAGACCUGUACAUUCCAUUAAUGGCGUUUGGUACCUAUGUUGUUCUUGCUGGCCUUUCCUUAGGUCUUCGUGGAAAGUUUAGUCCAGAAGCUCUGAACUGGUUGUUCAUCAAGGGAUUGCUUGGUUGGUUUAUGCAAGCAAUACUGCUUAAGGUGACACUGUUUUCACUGGGUAGUGGGGAGGCUCCCCUGCUAGACAUUAUGGCAUACGCCGGCUAUACUUUUGCCGGCAUGUGUUUGGCUGUUCUCGGGAGAAUUGUGUCAGGUUACUCUUACUACUUUUUGAUGCCAUUUGCCUGUUUCAGCAUGGGAUUUUUCUUGGUUAAAACGCUGAAGAGGGUCCUUUUUGCUGAGGUGAGGACUUAUGAAUCAUCCAAACAUCACUAUCUCUUGCUCUUCAUUGCUCUGGCUCAGUUCCCGCUGUUCACCUGGCUUGGCAACAUUACCGUCAAUUGGCUUAUUUAGAUUGCAAUCUCUUCACAUGGUAUAUGGAAUCAAUUCUUCGCGGAAGCUUUAUAUCUUGUUAUAGGUUUUUUUUUGCUGGCGAAUAAGCUUUCAUUUGUUCGAAGCUCUGAAUUCCAUAUUUGGAGAGCACUGCUUCACCAAAUGAGCACUCUCAAGCAAGAGUGUCUUUUUUUGGUAUGAUUUCUGACCCUCUUACUUAUGGCCAUUCAAGAUAGUCGAUAGAGUUCGAUCAGUCUUCUUUCGGUGGCGUUUGUCCUCCGUGCGUUUUUAUUUUAAAAAGUAAUAAAAAAAAUAAUUAUUACUAAAUUAUCAUUGAUAUAUAAAAAGUAAUGCAUAUCUCUUUUUUUAUGCAAGAAAAACUGAGUAGGCCUUGUAGAACGGGAGCAAAAAGAUAUAUGAUACAUGUAUACAUAAUAUGAAGAUAGUGGUUCGCAAAAAAAAUGAAGAUAGUGAAUUAUAAAUUUGUAAUAAAAGAAGUGGUUUUAUGGAUUAGUGAUUAUUGUCUAUAUUGUAUUUAAAAA
This is an RNA transcript of Neltuma alba, 1450 nucleotides long. It is a transcript of the gene named protein YIF1B-A, with no coding region annotated. The transcript is spliced from 6 exons. NCBI's taxonomy places the organism in Eukaryota, Viridiplantae, Streptophyta, Magnoliopsida, Fabales, Fabaceae. The record is from RefSeq and is a predicted model, not a curated record.